AAUAAACCAAUUUUUUAUUUUUUAUCUUUAAUUUUUGACUCUUCGUCUUAUUCAAAUAUUUUUUGCGAUUGAUAUUUUUGUUUUUAUUAGAUGAUAAAUUAUAAAUAGUAUUUUACGUCUGACUAAUUUUUUUCUAAUUUUCUAAAAAAAUUUCAAACAAAACGAAUGGUCAAACGUUGGACACGGGAAUCGAAGAAUUCGUUUUUU
This 207-nucleotide microRNA precursor is filed under the name Oryza brachyantha (malo sina). RNAcentral's name for it is "MIR812 microRNA precursor family". It matches the Rfam family "MIR812 microRNA precursor family". Lineage: Eukaryota; Viridiplantae; Streptophyta; Magnoliopsida; Poales; Poaceae. The record is from Rfam by way of RNAcentral.